GGGAGUGGCUGAACAAGCCAGCUGGAAGGACGGGUUAUUGUGGUCAGAAGGUGGGCAGAUUGAAUUUUGCAUCUGGAGAUAGCAAGAUUAUGGGUGCUGACAAUGUCCAGGAAGUGACCAUGAGCCUGUGUGGCUGAGGUGAUCAAGAAAAUGAGAGGCCAAGGGGUUAUGUGUAUCUUCCCAGUUCUACGUGUAUUUUGGCCCGUUUCCUCCUGGCUAAAGAGCACUUUCACCUUCUGGCAAGUGACCUGGGUUGACUUGAAGAGAGCUCUGUGACUGCUUUGACCAAUACAAGACAGCAGGAGUGAAGGUGGACUCAGCUUUUAACUGGUUCCUGCAGUCCUGACCAGUCAUCAAGCAGCUACUCAGACAGGAGGCAUCAGUCAUGAGGUGAAGACGCCAUCUUGGACCCCCAGCCCCGGCUCUUACCCAGAUGCAGCUGCACCAGCUGAGCCCAAUCAACCCGCAGAUCCCUGAGAGAGAAUGAUAAAUAGCUGUGCCUUUGCUCUCAGCCUACCCCUUCGUGCUCCACACCCCAGUGAUAGUGAGAGGAGUACCAGAAACGAAGGGAUGGAAGAAUAGCAGCUGGAGGAGAAGAAUGGAGCAGAAAACAGCGAGUUCAAGAAGGAUUGGGAGAGAAUUUUUGGUGAGGAGCUGAGAGCAAAGCAAGGAGAAAGAUGGUUUGAAGACACUCCAGAAUAUGAGGGAGGUAGAGAGUGAGAGGAAAAGGAGGAAGGGGGUUUUAAGAAACGAUCACUUAGGGGCUGGCCCGGUGGCUGGGUGGUUAAAUUCUCGCGCUCUGCUGCUGCGGCCCGGGGUUUUGCCGGUUCAGAUCCUGGGCGCAGACACGGCACUGCUCAUCAAGCUAUGCUGAGGCAGCAUCCCACAUGCCACACUAGAAGGACCCAUAACUAAGAAUAUACAACUAUGUACUGGGGGGCUUUGGGGAGAAAAAGGAAAAAAAUAAAAUCUUAAAAAAAAAAGAAAU
Molecule: long non-coding RNA, 988 nt
Filed under: Equus asinus (donkey)
Lineage: Eukaryota; Metazoa; Chordata; Mammalia; Perissodactyla; Equidae
Description: lncRNA (ENSEASG00005027239.1)
Source: RNAcentral